Nicotiana tabacum (common tobacco) is the source of this 496-nucleotide non-coding RNA. The record is from RefSeq and is a predicted model, not a curated record. NCBI's taxonomy places the organism in Eukaryota, Viridiplantae, Streptophyta, Magnoliopsida, Solanales, Solanaceae.
UAUAUUUGGUUGUUGAUUGGUGUUAUAGUGUGAUUUAGCAGACAGCUGGACAACUAGUUAGUUUCUUUCUUUUGAUUAUUACCUUCAUUGAUCAGCCUUUGAGUUUUGCAAUUAGUCUUCUUGUUAAUUGUUUUUUCUGGGACAUGUCUUCUAUGUUGACAGUGUGGUCUAGGUGAUGCUUUCCGUUGCAGUACGUGUCCUUAUAAGGGUCUUCCUCCAUUCAAACUAGGCGAAAAGGUAACACUUUCUGGGAAUUUUCUUGAUGCUGACAUCUAAUUGCGGAUGAUAACAGUCUAUAUGGGAUUGCAGAAACCGUUAUAAUUAGGUCAAAAUUAGUUUGUUCAUUUUGGUUGAGGUGAGAUAAGUGAAUGUGUAAUAUGGACUCUUGAAGAAGUGAGGGAAAUAGCAGUGGACUGUGAACUAGUGUUAAGACUUCUAAUAGCUGUUAGAAGAGACUUGGAUUUAUAUGACAGAACAUAGAGAUUUCUAGUGUGUA